CUGAUCUCACUCAGGUAGGAUAGAC
This 25-nucleotide ribosomal RNA is filed under the name Melanoleuca bataillei. Its description in RNAcentral is "partial 28S ribosomal RNA". Lineage: Eukaryota; Fungi; Basidiomycota; Agaricomycetes; Agaricales; Pluteaceae. The record is from RNAcentral.